Molecule: transfer RNA, 76 nt
Filed under: Lamennaisia nobilis
Lineage: Eukaryota; Metazoa; Arthropoda; Insecta; Hymenoptera; Encyrtidae
Also listed under: 1 other name
Description: tRNA-Met
Source: RNAcentral
UAAGAAAUAGACUAAUUUUAUAUUUAAGUCGUUAAAUUCAUAAUUUAAAAAUAAAAAAAAUUUUUUUUUUUCUUUA